AAUUUGAACUAAUGUUAUAUCUGGAGGUCACGGUGCAGGUGGCAUUAUUAACCCACUUUCCAGAUGAGGAAAUGGCCACUCUCCAGGGCUGCCAUCAACCCCAGUGCUCCUAGAUCACUGCAUCUGCCUGCAGGUCCUGCAGUGGGAGCUUGCAGGAGCGGGAGAGAGAAGACGUGGGAAUGACCCGAGAGGCAGGAGACUGAGUUCCUGCCUUCAAUGGGCUCACUGCUUGGGGGAGCAAAGGAUGCUAUAUGACGUGAGGAAGCCCCCUGGAACAGUGCUCUUCCCCCGCCCCCACCCCAGGCCAGUUUCUGAAGUCAGUAGGUCUGGGCUGGGGAGGCGGGGUGGAGAAUUUGCAUUUCUAGAUGUUCUUCUUGCUGAUGCCUAUUUUGCUGGUGUGGAGGCCACUGGGGGAGGAGCAAUGACAUAGGGGGCUUCCUUGCUGGCGUCACUCCCACACGCAGGCUUGUUCCCUUCCAGAUGCUGAACACCUCAGGGUGCCAUGAAACGGUCUCUUGGUUAUGUUCUCACGUUGUUUGGAAAUCAUGCUCUCACUUCACAGAGCGUCGUUUGCUCCCCAAAGACACAGGCACUUCACCUUGAGCAAGUUAUUUGCUGGGAAGGGACAUAGGACCAAUCUGUCUCAGGAUGGAGGCAGAACACUCCAAAUGCCCCUUCAUCUCUUCCCUGUGGCGGGGUGGUCAAUGGCCCUUCUGAAACCUGAACCCAGAAGACGUGUGCCUUCUUUCCCAUCUCUGUGACCUCCUGGGAGCCUUCCCCAUCAGCCUUGCUGAGGGAUCCGGAGGGACCCUCUCUGUCUCCCUCCCCAAGCUGUGCAGAGCUGGACGUGAUCUGCAGUGAGUUCCCUUACCCGGGCUAUUGUCUACAACACAGCCACUCUGCCCUCAUUCCUGGUGGGCCGACAAAGCAGCAGAAGAGAGACAGUUAGAAUUCUGGUCAUAAAGGCCUGGCAUCUGACUGCUUAAGCAGAGGGCAUGCUUUCUAAUAUUGCCAAGCAGAGAGAUGCUCACCCGCUUCUCCAGCGUGAAUGCAAUGAAACAACUCAAACACCUAAUAGGAGAGUUGAAAGUGAGGCAUCAGUCAAUAGAAGAAUGCUGUGGCAUCCCCUUUUAGAUUAAGAAGCAACCAGGUUGGCAUUCCCAUCCUGGUGCAGAGGAAAUGAAUCUGACUAGGAACCACCAGGUUGUGGGUUCGAUCCCUAGCCUUGCUCAGUGGGUUAAGGAUCCGGUGUUGCCGUGAGCUGUGGUGUAGGUUGCAGAGGAGGCUCUGAUCCUGCGUUGCCACGCCUGUGGUGUAGACCAGAGGCUGCAGCUCUGAUUCCACCCCUAGCCUGGGAACCUCUAUAUGCUGAAAGUGUGGCCCCGAAAAAAGCAAAAGAAAAGAAAAGCUGACUGUUAUGUGAGAAUGGGAGCCACCAAAGGUUUCUGAGCAGAAUGACAGGCAAAGGGAGUGCUAUUGGAAAACUUAUGUGGGUGGGACUAUAAGUGGGCGGCAGAGAAAGACAAGUAGAAUAUUUCCAUGGAAGGUCUAGGGGCAGGCAAUAUGGUAUACAGAUCACGUUUGGGAUCAGAAGGAACGGGGCUCAAAUCUGUGCUGAGCCACCCCAAGGUUCUCUAUCUGCAAAACGGGAUCCCAAGCGUGCCUAUCUCACCGGACCAUAAUGGUGAAAUGGAAUCACAGAGAAAAGAGCCUGGCAAACAUAGAAACCAGCCCCCUGUUAUCGCUCAGCAUCAUCACUGCUCUUGAGAGUUAGAACACAAGGUCUUAAACAGAUGGCGGCAACUGGAAUGCAAAGGUGGAUGCAUGUGAGAGGACAUGGAAGAAUGAACAAGACUUCUUUCUUCGGGCUGAACAGGGACCAGGAGCUCAGAGGUGGCGGUGGAAAUGCUAGACUUUGGAGGGAGAGCAUGAAGAAAAGAGCAGGGCACACCCCUGGGCCUUUGCCAUGUGUACAGGCGACAAGAAAGGCAGCUUCAAAGGAGCAGAGAAGGGGUGGGGUGACACGAUCACAAAAGCUAGGGGAAGAGAGGCAGAAGGGCAAGUUAGUGCUGUAUAAAUAUGUUUAGUUAGCUAUAAAUAUCAUUAAAAUGUAUUAUACCCCCCCCCAAACACACUGGAAGAAUAUAUUCCACAAUGUAGCUAUUGCUAGGCGGUGAGAAUUUUAGGGGAUUUUCAGUGUUUUUAAUGCACUCCUGCAGUAAGGUUUGAUUUAUUUAUUUUUUGCUCUUAACAGCUAAUACGUGAACAGCACAUACACUUGCCCAGCAUUGUUCUGAGAGCUUUAUAGAUAUUAACUUACUUCAUCCUCAAAACAACGCUGUGAGGUUACUACUGUUUUCCCCAGGUUGGGAUUAAAGGAACCGAGGGAGGCAGACGCGCGGAGCACAUGCAGCCAAGGUCAGAGCGAAGGUGAGUGGAGGAGCCAGCGUUGCAAUGCUGAUCCGGCAGCCUGGCUCCAGGGUCUGUGCGCUCAACCACAUGUGAUACUUUUAUGACUAAAAAAAAAAUCCCAGUAAUUGCUAUUCACAAAACCAGGAGGUGGGGCAGUUAUUCGUCACUUUACAGGGGGUAAAGGAAGGAGAGAGCAAACAAAGCUUGUGGGACUCAGUGACGGGGAGUUCCCGGGGGGCCCUGAGCGAGGGGUUUCCACUGGGAAGGGAAGGAAGGUGGGAGUGUAAGGGACCAAGAGAGAACUACUAAUUCAGGAACGUGGGUGGUGAGUGCAGGGGACUAUUUCGAGACAUGUGGCCGUGUGGUGAAGACAAGGAGCUGGAUGGGAACUUUUAGGGGCAGGAGGAUUGUUUGAAGAGACGGUUGGCAGCCCAUAUACUCAAACUGGAACGAUACAGAGAAGAUUAGCAUGGCCCCCUGUGCAGGCAUGACAUGCAAAUUCAUGAUGCGUUCCAUACUUUUA
This 2935-nucleotide long non-coding RNA is filed under the name Sus scrofa (pig). Lineage: Eukaryota; Metazoa; Chordata; Mammalia; Artiodactyla; Suidae. The record is from RNAcentral.